GAGCUGGCUCAGGACGAACGCUGGCGGCGUGCUUAACACAUGCAAGUCGAACGGAAAGGUCUCUUCGGAGAUACUCGAGUGGCGAACGGGUGAGUAACACGUGGGUGAUCUGCCCUGCACUUCGGGAUAAGCCUGGGAAACUGGGUCUAAUACCGGAUAGGACCACGGGAUGCAUGUCUUGUGGUGGAAAGCGCUUUAGCGGUGUGGGAUGAGCCCGCGGCCUAUCAGCUUGUUGGUGGGGUGACGGCCUACCAAGGCGACGACGGGUAGCCGGCCUGAGAGGGUGUCCGGCCACACUGGGACUGAGAUACGGCCCAGACUCCUACGGGAGGCAGCAGUGGGGAAUAUUGCACAAUGGGCGCAAGCCUGAUGCAGCGACGCCGCGUGGGGGAUGACGGCCUUCGGGUUGUAAACCUCUUUCACCAUCGACGAAGGUCCGGGUUCUCUCGGAUUGACGGUAGGUGGAGAAGAAGCACCGGCCAACUACGUGCCAGCAGCCGCGGUAAUACGUAGGGUGCGAGCGUU
This 525-nucleotide ribosomal RNA is filed under the name Mycobacterium tuberculosis. Its description in RNAcentral is "bacterial SSU rRNA". It matches the Rfam family "Bacterial small subunit ribosomal RNA", at positions 16 to 542 of the family's 1533-position model. Lineage: Bacteria; Bacillati; Actinomycetota; Actinomycetes; Mycobacteriales; Mycobacteriaceae. The record is from RNAcentral.